Molecule: long non-coding RNA, 850 nt
Filed under: Homo sapiens (human)
Lineage: Eukaryota; Metazoa; Chordata; Mammalia; Primates; Hominidae
Description: HSALNT0118459
Source: RNAcentral
UUUGGUACUGGAAUUACAACUAUUAUCCUCCUGUAGAGGGUCCUGGUUGCUGCUCUGAUCUUGCAGUUUCUUUUCACUAUGUUGAUUCUACAACCAUGUAUGAGUUAGAAUACCUCGUUUAUCAUCUUCGUCCAUAUGGUUAUUUAUACAGAUAUCAACCUACCUUACCUGAACGUAUACUAAAGGAAAUUAGUCAAGCAAACAAAAAUGAAGAUACAAAAGUGAAGUUAGGAAAUCCUUGAAAGAAAAUCAUGAAUGAACAAAGGUAAUAUGUCUAGCACUGCACUGAAAAAGGACUUCUGCAUUUCUGACAUAGAACACUGGAAUCCCAGUGAGGAAUUCUAAGUGAACAUUCCUUAUAGAAACCUUUCACAUGAAUGACUAUAAACUGAAGCUUUAAAUGAGCUGUGAAGUGUGUUAAAAUGUGUUUUGAUACAGUAAUAUAUAAAUAUGUCUAUAUAUAUGAGGAACUUGUGUUUUUUAAAUGGUGGCCAGGUAGAGGAACUAGAAAAGAGAUUUUGUUGCCUGUUUUCUGACCAUCUGUGUUAUUGUCACUGAGAAACUAAAAUAGUAAAUUUACUAAAACUACACUGCACCAUGUUAGUAAUAAACAGAUCUGCCUUAAAGAAAAGAAAAUUUUAGAAAGAAAUAUUGUUGCUCAGUGUUGUUAAUAUAGCUCAAGAAUUGAGUUUAUAUUUGCAGUAUGCUAUAAAUGAUACCCCCCUACCACACCCACACACACAGUUUUUGUCUAAUGAAAAUGUUGCUGUGAUUAUUUAUAAUUGGUAGUAUUUCUUCCAGAAGAAGCUAAAAUAAGACUGGCACUUACCCUGAAGUGCAUUAAUAAAAC